This 950-nucleotide long non-coding RNA is filed under the name Corvus moneduloides (New Caledonian crow). Its description in RNAcentral is "lncRNA (ENSCMUG00000016872.1)". Lineage: Eukaryota; Metazoa; Chordata; Aves; Passeriformes; Corvidae. The record is from RNAcentral.
GCAGCAGGGACAUUAAUGGAGCGCUAAAUAGAACAGCAGGGAGGCAAAUGGAGCCACAGUCAGCAAAGAACAAAAAAUGAGGAAAAAAACCUGGUGAACCACUUCUUCCUCUCCUCAGCACUGAACUACAUGAAGAGAAUUCCAGCUGACAUCGGAAGAUACAUGCAUUAGGAUUUCAUCCUGCCCUGACUCAUGCCAGCAACAACCUACCAUCAGCUAAAAGUGUGACCUUUCUCUGGGAGGGCUCCUCAGCCUGACAAGAGCUUUGACAUGAUAAAUGUUGGAGAGCUGCUGCUGCUAUCAAAACUGACCAGCAGGACCACAACUGGAAAGAAAAAGAGGCAGAAGAUCAGGACAAAAGUAGUAAAUACUUACAGGAUUUCAUGGGGCAUGUGGAAGAAGACUUUUCUCAAGCAGAGACAGAAUGAUGUCUAACCAUGUCAGCUGAUUGGCAGAAUUCUGACAGAUGUCACAUACAUUUUAGCAGAAGGAUCCAUUGCUGUUUAUGUCACCACAUUACUGCUCACAACACAAAAGAGCAGCAACUUUUCCAGUCAUCACCUAAAGCUGUGGUGGAUACAUUUUGUAAGUAAGCAGGACAAAAUCUCAUGUACAGCCAAGUAUAGCACCCUGAAAGAAGAGGACAAAUAAUGACAAUUCUGAUGACAAGGAAACAUCACUGGCAGGAAGAAAUGUGCAAUCAUGUUACUUUCCAGCUGGUCUCUUCAGACCAUGAUGCUCCUGGAUUUUCUCUUGUGUACAAGGUGACAUUGACUUGUCUGAUCUAAUUGCUCAACUUAAGUAAAAAAGCUGAUGGAGUAUUUCAGCUUUUCUGUUAUCCAGCUUGUUACUGAAGCAUUUCAAUAUGCCUCUAUAACUGUAUGUUAUUUGUGCUAUUCCUGUUUAUUGUUUACCCCCCAGAUGUAACUGUUACUCUGAUAAAACUGUUC